GUCUGGCUGGCUCAGUCAGUAGAGUAUGUGACUCUUGAUCUCGGGGUUGUGAGUUCAAGCCCCACGUUGGGUG
Molecule: transfer RNA, 73 nt
Filed under: Ailuropoda melanoleuca (giant panda)
Lineage: Eukaryota; Metazoa; Chordata; Mammalia; Carnivora; Ursidae
Rfam family: tRNA
About the family: Transfer RNA (tRNA) molecules are approximately 80 nucleotides in length.
Source: Rfam by way of RNAcentral